Molecule: ribosomal RNA, 497 nt
Filed under: uncultured bacterium
Lineage: Bacteria
Description: partial 16S ribosomal RNA
Rfam family: Bacterial small subunit ribosomal RNA
Source: RNAcentral
GAUGAACGCUGGCGGCGUGCCUAAUACAUGCAAGUCGAGCGAACAGACGAGGAGCUUUCUCCUCUGACGUUAGCGGCGGACGGGUGAGUAACACGUGGAUAACCUACCUAUAAGACUGGGAUAACUUCGGGAAACCGGAGCUAAUACCGGAUAAUAUAUUGAACCGCAUGGUUCAAUAGUGAAAGACGGUUUUGCUGUCACUUAUAGAUGGAUCCGCGCCGCAUUAGCUAGUUGGUAAGGUAACGGCUUACCAAGGCAACGAUGCGUAGCCGACCUGAGAGGGUGAUCGGCCACACUGGAACUGAGACACGGUCCAGACUCCUACGGGAGGCAGCAGUAGGGAAUAUUCCGCAAUGGGCGAAAGCCUGACGGAGCAACGCCGCGUGAAUGAUGAAGGUCUUCGGAUCGUAAAGCUCUGUUAUUAGGGAAGAACAAAUGUGUAAGUAACUAUGCACGUCUUGACGGUACCUAAUCAGAAAGCAACGGCUAACUACGUG